This is a long non-coding RNA of Bicyclus anynana (squinting bush brown), 763 nucleotides long. RefSeq lists it as uncharacterized. The record is from RefSeq and is a predicted model, not a curated record. Lineage: Eukaryota; Metazoa; Arthropoda; Insecta; Lepidoptera; Nymphalidae. The transcript has 3 exons.
UCGAGCUGAAAUUGACGUGAGAACUCGCACUGGCGACCGCUGACGUGUUUAGUGCAAAAAGUGCUCAAUAACUUGACCGAUGACUUUGUUUUUUUUUUAACGGACUUCAAAAAAAGAGGAGCUUCUCAAUUCGACGCGAGAGCAAAAUGCCUCGUAAAUAUAAAAGAAAACAGGGUGUUGUACUUCGUACUGUAACCUAGACCGAAGAUAGUAAGCUAGCAGCGUUUAAAGAGAUGAAAAAAGGAGAGAAAGGCGUAAAUAAGAUUUCUAGAAUAUAAGGAAUACAAUCUAAAAUAUUAAGAUGAAGAUUUGCUAUUAAUGGCAAAAAUAAAUUGACAUUAAGAAAACAUCCUAUGAUAACGAAAAACGACUCGUGGCUCUUACAUUCAAAUUAGGAGAAGCUGGAUUUUCACCGGACUGAACACCAAUACGUCAGUUAGCAUACCAGUUCGCUAAAAAGCUAAAGCAUAACUUUGACGAAGAUGGCCAAGAAAUGAAAAUAAAAGUUAUAUAAAACACCAUAAAGACUGAUUAUAAUAAUAUAGUUCUUUCAUUUCAGAACAAACCAAUCACAAUGUUUAAACUAAGUCGUCGGUCCCCACUAGGGGCACCUAUCCUCGGAAGUUUUUUCAUGAUAAGUCAUCUAUCCGCCACAGUAGGCGUCUAUCCCAUUUUUCAGAGGUCCAAAGAAAUACAAUUUACACAAAAUCUACACAGUCUAUAUCAGAACGAUUCAGAUAAUAUAGAACAUUAAGAAAUAUAU